Capra hircus (goat) is the source of this 387-nucleotide long non-coding RNA. RefSeq lists it as uncharacterized. NCBI's taxonomy places the organism in Eukaryota, Metazoa, Chordata, Mammalia, Artiodactyla, Bovidae. The record is from RefSeq and is a predicted model, not a curated record. The transcript is spliced from 3 exons.
UGAUCUUGAACAUAAUCAAGGACUAUAAAGGGUUUGAGACGUUAUCAUAUUUGCACGUUAGCCUACCAGAGUUUCAUGAAUGCUGACCAAAGGCAUGAGACUCCUGGGUCGGAGACAAAGGAGCUAAUUUAGGGUCCCUGUAGAAGGAUCCUUUGAUGUAGAGAUGCUACUGAAUAAUCUCUCACAGAUGCCCACACUAGAGCUGUCUGCAGUGUCUGUCAUGAAGCUUUUCAUGUCCAUGACAUCGAUUUCUUGAUCUGUCCAGAUUUGCUGAGUCCUAAGUACACACCGAAGAACUGAUGCUUUUGAACUGUGGUGUUGGAGAAGACUCUUAAGAGUCCCUUGGACUGCAAGGAAAUCCAACCGGUCCAUUCUGAAGGAGAUCAG